This 1049-nucleotide long non-coding RNA is filed under the name Bemisia tabaci. Its description in RNAcentral is "lncRNA ENSSSA2NGG013933". The record is from RNAcentral. Lineage: Eukaryota; Metazoa; Arthropoda; Insecta; Hemiptera; Aleyrodidae.
UUAAUUAAAAUUAAUAACGCUUACAGUAUUUUUGAAAUCUGCCCCAAAAUGGCCCAUAACUCAAAGAAAAUGGGGAGAUGGGUUACGGAAAAAGUGCACUGAACAGUUAGUUCUUAUUUUUUGCCAUACAAUUUAUAUCCGAAGUCAAAACAUAUCCUUCCUGUUUGAAAUACGCGAAAAAAGGGGGUCCUUCCUUAGCCUUCCCCCCAUUGGGGUUUUGGGGGGCUGAAAAUAUUUAAUUGGAUUCGUUGAGGUUGAUUUACCCCUGUAAGUUUUCGUCCCGAAGCUCGAUUUUCGGUCGUUUCCUAGAAAAAGAUAGUGGACGGGUGCUCUGGAUCACCCGGUAUAGUUGUAUGAAGUCCCCGAGUUUUAUUGCAGUAGGUAAAGUAGGCAUACAAUAAACAUACGUACGGGACCAACAGUGGGAACCCGUAAUGGAAUGGGAACCAAGGCAAGAGAUUCGAGCGAACGGGUAAGAAAAAGGUAGCUGCUGUAUUGGGACUAUCUAUGGGACGUGGGGGUGAAUGGUGACACUAAAUGGCUCAAAACUGCUCACGAUCAGAGCAACAGCAGGCUUCGUCGGCCUCGGCUUUCGGACACACGACCCAGAGCGGCAGCCGCGGCACUAAUGCAAUUGUAUCGAAAACCCGGACUGUUCGUGUUCGUUUCUCACUCGUUUCUUCCCAGCUCUUUCAAUUCUCUAUUUCUGCUCCGAGCGGGUCCAAGACAUUUCAUAAUGGACUGCUAGACAAGGUUGUUGACUGUGAAGGGGCAACGUCGCAAUGUAAAUACACCGACGGGUAAUUAAGGAGCUUUUAAUAGCUCUACCGUGAGUUUGCUACGUCUACUCGUGCGGAUUCGUUGACCUUCGGAGGCCUUCGACUCCGGUCUGACCUCCUCCAAGUCCUUUAUCCUGUGUCCCAACCUCUGCUUUGCAUCGUCCUAUUGUUUGUUAACGCCACUGAUCACCUAUAUAAUGUCUCUAUCCUUCUGAAACCACUCUUUUUCUUGUUAAUAUUAGAGUGCUUACGCCUCCUUAGCCUUAGCAC